UCUGCUGUGAGGGGACUUCGCAGAGCUGCCCGCAGCAGCCGGGACCCGGGUCUCCGGCCGCCCCGGCCCCGCCCCUGCCUUUUCCCAGAGGGGCCCUCUUGCCGACCCGGAAGCCGCUUCGCAGAUGAAUCUGUUCCCCAUACCCAGACCCCGGCCCCGCCCCGGUUGCCUAGGCGACGAAAGGCCGCAACUCCACGGCGAGUUAAUGACGAUGUCUGUGGGGACUACUCCCGGGGGAACGACCCCCGCGGCGACGACCCCGGCGGGAACCACACCGGAGUUAGAGAGAGAUGCUGAAUUCCAGGAGCAUGAAAAGAUUCUGUCUCCAGAUUUUCUUUCAGCUGCUCAAAUCACUGAAAUGCUAACAGAAGACAUAAAUGGAGUUCAACAAAAACUGAAAAAGUUUUUGAAUUUCAAAAACCUUCAAACCUGUUUAAAGGAAGCCAUUCUACUAGAUUAUUAUGUAUCUGGAUUUUUGUGGGCUAGAGGAAUGGACUUUUCUGUUACUCAAUAUUCAAAAUUUAUGACUUUACUAGAUAUGUUACUUCAUAAUCUUAGAACACUGCAUAUGUCCUUAGAAGACAGCAUAAAAUGGCUUGGAGAAGUUAUGGCUGAAAUAGGACCACCCCAUUCACAGAAAAAUGAAGAAUGGAGUUUUUUUAAUAUAAAACAAGCCAAUGCUAUCAUCGAUUACUUAAAAAUCAGCUUAUUUCAACACUACAAGCUAUAUGAGUUUCUAUUCUACUCUACCAGGGAAGAAAUUGUGAUAGGAACUGAGCAAAUGAUAGAGGUUGUCAAGCCUGCAGGUGGUCUCCUCCCAGAUCCUCUAGAAGAAGGAAUCUCAUUUGACAUUUAUUCAACAUUCAUAGAACCACCCCCAACAUUGGAUGCAGAAGUGAAGGGGUUGGAUCAAGAACAAGUCCCUGAGGAAUUCCAGUCAGAAGCCAACAUUUCCGAUGCGGAUCCUUUAGUGGGUUUCACCAUUGAAGAUAUAAAAUCAGUGCUGGGUCAAGUCACAGAUGAUAUUUUAAUCGGCAUUCAGGUAAAAACUAAUACCCAAGGUAGCCAAGUGACUUGUCCAAGAUUAUGUAACUAAAUUAAUCCCUUGGUCUCCAGCUCCUAGACCAGUGCUCUUUCCAGAUCUACCAAAAUCACGCCCAAGGGGUUCAGUGACUCCUAAACAAUGACAGAGUUCCUUUGUAACCCUGAGGACCAAGUUCAUUCUUCCUUGCCUCCUCCACCCAAACACCAGGAAACAAAAAAGGAAUACAAUGGGAAACCAGAGGCCAGAGUUUGAUAAAACUUGUAGGGCUUGAUAAAACUUGAACCAAAGAAGAAGGAUACUUUCAUGAGGAUCCAGAAUUGUUGACACCAAUGCCAUCUUCUCAGAAAUACUGAUUCUUACCAGUGAAGGUGAAACAAAAUCUCAUCAGACCGAGAUAAACGAAAAGCUGCAAAUACAGGAAGAGGCCUUCAAUGCACGAAUAGAAAAACUGAAAAAGGCCUGAGGACUUAGUGCAAGGAGAGUGAUGCUAAACUUCAGAGAAACAAAUAAAACCAGCCAGAAUAAUAGACUCUCCAGAGCAGCAGAUAUCCUUCCUUUCGUUGGGAGAGGGAAACCAAGCCCCACUUUUUAUUAUCCUAAGUAAUUAGAAAAGUAUUGGCCCCCAUUUUGCUAUCUCCUGUCCCAUAACAGCCUCUGAAUUUAUUGCACUAAGUGUAAUAAGAACAUUCUGUAUACAAGAGUUUGGAGAAUUAUAUAUAAAAAUACAAUUACUUUUACGAUACUCCUUUGACAUUUUGACUAAUAAAUGCUAUUCAUCUUCAGGGAGAAUGAAGCCCACUUUUUUUAAAUAAGGAAAAAUAAUAAUAAUUUUAUCCAUAUUGACCCAAUGAACUGCCACAUUACUGGAGCCCUGUGAACAGAUAACCACAUGGCCAAGGAUAAAACUUGCUAAACAAUAGCAAUUAAAAUGCAUAUACUAUGGGUUUUUUUUCCCUUAAAUCACUUGGUUUUCUUAUUUAAACGUUUCAGUGUGAAACCAAUUUUCUGAAAUUAUAUAAUGCAGUUUGAAACACUUUAAUUUAUUCUGUACCGUAUUUGUUAUUUCUAAUCUUGUUACUCUCCCAGGAGAAUACAUGACCUAUAUAAAAAGAAGCAAUGUAUAAAUGGUUAUUAAAGACCAACCUAUAUAUAGAUUGUAAAAAUCUUAAAUACAAAUCAAACUCACAGAGCUCUUAAAAUUAACCAUUAUAUUGCAGUAGAAUGAUUGAAAACAUCUCAAGCCUUUAAAUACCUUUAUGAAAAUAUAAUUUUAGAAGAAAAAUAUCCAUUUGCCAAUUGAUUGUUUCAGGUUGGAUAAAUUAAAUUAAUUAUGAGCUAUAUCCUUUCCAAAUUUCUUAGACUUCAGAGUAUCCUAGAAUGGAGAACAUUACUAGGAAGGGGAGAGUUCCUUUAAGAAAUUCCCAGUUUAUACCGGAACCAGAGGUACUUGAUUGAAUAUGUUCUAUCUACAUCCUAACUUUGGGCCAGACCUUACCUUCUCUAUCAGUAUCAGAGGGAUUGCCCAAAAUGUAUUCAUUUGAGGUAGAGACAGAUCUGACAGCAUUUGAUAGUUUUCUAACUGUGCUGAUCAGUAAAGCCAGGAGUGGUCCUUAAGAUAAAGCCAUGUUUAUUGUUCAUCGGUUCCUAGUCUGGAAGGCCUGGAGAUACGCUGUGCUUGUUCCUUGAGCUGUCCUUCCCAGCUGAAAACAUUGAUGGCCACAGGAGAUCAGUAGGAGGGCUUGUGAGGCUUGAUUUUGCCAAGCAGUCUUUUCUCCAGGGAAAACAGAGGUGAAACUAGAGAAACCACAAAUGGAAUAAAGGAGCUCCUGGAAAUCACCAAGCACAGCUUCAAAUGCAAUCAUUGGCACAGAGUGGACCCGCAUUUCUAAUAAAGUGCUUAUUUUGAACAAAAGUACCAGCAGUCUAAAAGUGAAUAAAAAAGUAGGAGUAAGAUCCCUUAAAACUACAUAGAUACUAAUAAGUACACCUAAGGCAUGCCUUUGGAAAAGACUGGCUUCGCCACUGGCUAGUCUGUGACUUUGAACAAACUACACAACCUCUAUUUCCUCAUCUAUUCAAUGAGGAUGAUACUUAUUUUUGAGGUAGUUAUAAGAAUCCAAUAAAUUCAUAUUAAAGGACA
Leopardus geoffroyi (Geoffroy's cat) is the source of this 3185-nucleotide RNA transcript. It is a transcript of the gene named ciliary associated calcium binding coiled-coil 1, with no coding region annotated. The transcript has 9 exons. Lineage: Eukaryota; Metazoa; Chordata; Mammalia; Carnivora; Felidae. The record is from RefSeq and is a predicted model, not a curated record.